Molecule: ribosomal RNA, 468 nt
Filed under: uncultured bacterium
Lineage: Bacteria
Description: partial 16S ribosomal RNA
Rfam family: Bacterial small subunit ribosomal RNA
Source: RNAcentral
GACGAACGCUGGCGGCGUGCUUAACACAUGCAAGUCGAACGGAAAGGCCCUGCUUUUGUGGGGUGCUCGAGUGGCGAACGGGUGAGUAACACGUGAGUAACCUGCCCUUGACUUUGGGAUAACUUCAGGAAACUGGGGCUAAUACCGGAUAGGAGCUCCUGCUGCAUGGUGGGGGUUGGAAAGUUUCGGCGGUUGGGGAUGGACUCGCGGCUUAUCAGCUUGUUGGUGGGGUAGUGGCUUACCAAGGCUUUGACGGGUAGCCGGCCUGAGAGGGUGACCGGCCACAUUGGGACUGAGAGAGGGACCAGACGGCAACGGGAGGCAGCAGUGGGGAACAUUACACAGUGGGCGGGAGCCUGAUGCAGAAACGCUGCGUGCGGGAUGCCGGCCUUCGGGUUGUAAACCGCUUUCGCCUGUGACGAAGCGUGAGUGACGGUAAUGGGUAAAGAAGCACCGGCUAACUACGUG